GUACAAAGGGUAGGGGCCAGCCUGCCAUUCUGUGAGGAGGCAAGGAGAAGGGACUUAAGGGCACAUAUAAGCUCGGAGUUGGAGCACAGCGAGAGCACUCGGACAAUAUCUGGAGGUGGGACACCCACACAGAGAGAACCCCAGCCCCAUCCUCCUGGCUGGUGGAGCAGCCACCAGGAAAGCACAGCAGUGACUUCAAACAGUCCCGCUGGACUGCUUCAAAGAAGUGACUGCAAGUGGGUGAAACAAGCAAGCAGAAGGAGGAUGGCAGAAAUGGUAAUUAAGGCUGUCCUUGGGCUCAUGUGUUGGGCCACAAGUUAUUUAGAUAAUCAUGACUUAUCCCAGUGUUCUGGCUGCUGGCUUGACUGUUGUGAGUCAGCAGGGCUUUGUAGGCACUACAAAGCCUGGAUGCAAGUCUCCAAACAUGAUCCUACUGAGCCUCGAAGUCCCUUUAUUCAGUGAGAGCUGAAUCAGGACCAAUUCAUUCUGUGUAUAAGUCAGAAAAGAAAUUUUUAAUUACC
Numida meleagris (helmeted guineafowl) is the source of this 521-nucleotide long non-coding RNA. Lineage: Eukaryota; Metazoa; Chordata; Aves; Galliformes; Numididae. The record is from Ensembl.